GUGGGGAAUAUUGGACAAUGGGCGCAAGCCUGAUCCAGCCACGCCGCGUGUGUGAUGAAGGCCUUCGGGUCGUAAAGCACUGUGGAGGGGGAAGAACAAGCUUCGGGCUAAUAUCCCGGAGCCCUGACGGUACCCCUUUAGCAAGCACCGGCUAACUCCGUGCCAGCAGCCGCGGUAAUACGGAGGGUGCAAACGUUGCUCGGAAUCAUUGGGCGUAAAGCGCGUGUAGGCGGUUUGUUUAGUCGAAUGUGAAAACCCUGGGCUUAACCCAGGAAGUGCAUUCGAUACUGGCAAACUAGAGUACAGGAGAGGAUAGCGGAAUUCCCGGUGUAGAGGUGAAAUUCGUAGAUAUCGGGAGGAACACCAGUGGCGAAGGCGGCUAUCUGGACUGAUACUGACGCUGAGACGCGAAAGCGUGGGGAGCAAACAGGAUUAGAUACCCUUGUAGUCC
Molecule: ribosomal RNA, 451 nt
Filed under: uncultured bacterium
Lineage: Bacteria
Description: bacterial SSU rRNA
Rfam family: Bacterial small subunit ribosomal RNA
Source: RNAcentral